AGGUAGAGAUCCAGCAAUCUGAUUGUAGUGGACAAGCAAGCGGCGAAGACUUGCCAUCAAACCUAUCUCAGAUGGUACAUUACCAGAGAAAUUAUUAACAGCCAAGUCUAGAUACAUGAGCUUGGAAAGGUUACUGAUGUGGGGGGGAAUGCUUCCAUGGAGAAAGUUGUGAGAAAGGUCAAGGCUGAUAAGGUUAGGGAAAGAUGAGAAGUUGAAGAAUUGUAAAGUACCUCUCAAACCACUGAAGGAAAGGUCUAUGCGUAUGACAUGUCCAGAUUCAUCACAAGUGAUCCCAACCCAUUGGCAAGGGGAACUAUUGAUGUCAGCUUUGAGAUCAGAAGAAGUGGAGUUAUGAGGAACAAAAUUCCAAGAGCAAAGGAGGCAAUUAGUGGGCUCGUCAAGGUUGUCUUUCCAUUUGAGAAGAGCUUCUACUUCAUGUCCUUUCAUCUGGACAGCUGAUAUAUUAGAAGCGAAAGCUAAAACAACAUUGGAAGAAAAUAACAGUACAAUGAAGAUGGUAAUGAUGAAGGGCAAUCUUUUAAUUAGUGAGAAUGCCAUGGCUUUAGCUGUAAGGAAGGUGGGUGGUAGAAUGGCUUGGAUGCUAUUGUUACUAAAUUAUAUAGAGGUGAUGAAUUCAUAAAGUGCUUUAUUUAUUCUUAUUAAAAGCUUAAUUUCAGUCAUAGUGAUAAAACUUUAUCAUUGAUUUCAAUACCCAACUGAACUAUAAUUUAUAUGAAAAAAAUCACGGAACAUUGAUAAUUGCUUCAAUAAGUUUACUAUAUGCAAAUUUUUACGGUAUUUGCUGGAGUUGAUGAGUCUUUAGUGAAUAUUAGGUGAAAAAAU
RNAcentral lists this unclassified non-coding RNA (843 nucleotides) under Hevea brasiliensis (rubber tree). Lineage: Eukaryota; Viridiplantae; Streptophyta; Magnoliopsida; Malpighiales; Euphorbiaceae. The record is from RNAcentral.